Molecule: ribosomal RNA, 406 nt
Filed under: uncultured bacterium
Lineage: Bacteria
Description: partial 16S ribosomal RNA
Rfam family: Bacterial small subunit ribosomal RNA
Source: RNAcentral
AUUGAACGCUGGCGGCAGGACUAACACAUGCAAGUCGAACGAGUGGCGGAAGGGUGAGUAAUGUAUGGGAAACUGCACGUUGGAGGGGGAUAACUACGGGAAAAGGUAGCUAAUACCGCAUACCAUCAGAGGGGCCCAGAUGGGAGUAGCUAGUUGGUGGGGUAAAGGCUCACCAAGGCGACGAGCCGUAGCUGGUGUGAGAGGAUGACCAGCCACACUGGAACUGAGACAAGGUCCAGACUCCUACGGGAGGCAGCAGUGGGGAAUAUUGCACAAGGGGCGCAACCCUGAUGCAGCCAUGCCGCGUGUAUGAUGAAGGCCUUCGGGUUGUAAAGUACUUUCAGCGGGGAGGCGUUACCCGCAGAAUAAGCACCGGCUAACUCCGUGCCAGCAGCCGCGGUAAUUC